RNAcentral lists this ribosomal RNA (500 nucleotides) under uncultured bacterium. RNAcentral's name for it is "partial 16S ribosomal RNA". It matches the Rfam family "Bacterial small subunit ribosomal RNA", at positions 29 to 523 of the family's 1533-position model. The record is from RNAcentral.
AUUGAACGCUGGCGGCAUGCCUUACACAUGCAAGUCGAACGGCAGCACGGGAGCAAUCCUGGUGGCGAGUGGCGAACGGGUGAGUAAUAUAUCGGAACGUGCCCAGUCGGGGGGGAUAACGCAGCGAAAGCUGUGCUAAUACGGCAUACGAUCUACGGAUGAAAGCGGGGGAUCGCAAGACCUCGUGCGAUUGGAGCGGCGGAUAGCGGAUUAGCUAGUUGGUGGGGUAAAGGCCCACCAAGGCGACGAUCUGUAGCUGGUCUGAGAGGACGACCAGCCAACCUGAAACUGAGACACGGUCCAGACUCCUACGGGAGGCAGCAGUGGGGAAUUUUGGACAAUGGGCGCAAGCCUGAUCCAGCAAUGCCGCGUGCAGGAUGAAGGCCUUCGGGUUGUAAACUGCUUUUGUACGGAACGAAACGGCCCUUUCUAAUACAGGGGGCUAAUGACGGUACCGUAAGAAUAAGCACCGGCUAACUACGUGCCAGCAGCCGCAGUAA